RNAcentral lists this ribosomal RNA (633 nucleotides) under Curvularia lunata. Its description in RNAcentral is "eukaryotic LSU rRNA". The stretch from base 265 to 418 matches the Rfam family "5.8S ribosomal RNA". The record is from RNAcentral. Lineage: Eukaryota; Fungi; Ascomycota; Dothideomycetes; Pleosporales; Pleosporaceae.
GUGCGCAAAAGACAAGGUGAUAAAAAUNNAUCCCGCCGANGCCUUCAUAUUUUNAUNUUUAAUGNUNCCUUCCCGUAGGGGGGGACUGCGGAGGGAUCAUUACACAAAUUAAAAUAUGAAGGCUUCGGCUGGAUUAUUUUUAUCACCCUUGUCUUUUGCGCACUUGUUGUUUCCUGGGCGGGUUCGCCCGCCACCAGGACCACACCAUAAACCUUUUUUAUGCAGUUGCAAUCAGCGUCAGUAUAACAAAUGUAAAUCAUUUACAACUUUCAACAACGGAUCUCUUGGUUCUGGCAUCGAUGAAGAACGCAGCGAAAUGCGAUACGUAGUGUGAAUUGCAGAAUUCAGUGAAUCAUCGAAUCUUUGAACGCACAUUGCGCCCUUUGGUAUUCCAAAGGGCAUGCCUGUUCGAGCGUCAUUUGUACCUUCAAGCUUUGCUUGGUGUUGGGCGUCUUUUUGUCUUUGGCCUCGCCCAAAGACUCGCCUUAAAACGAUUGGCAGCCGGCCUACUGGUUUCGCAGCGCAGCACAUUUUUGCGCUUGCAAUCAGCAAAAAGGACGGCAAUCCAUCAAGACUACAUUUUUACGUUUGACCUCGGAUCAGGUAGGGAUACCCGCUGAACUUAAGCAUAUC